UGGCCUCUCUGAAGAGGUUUCAGA
Molecule: unclassified non-coding RNA, 24 nt
Filed under: Mus musculus (house mouse)
Lineage: Eukaryota; Metazoa; Chordata; Mammalia; Rodentia; Muridae
Description: oocyte_clustered_small_RNA13737
Source: RNAcentral